GUGUCAGCAGCCGCGGUAAUACAGAGGUCCCAAGCGUUGUUCGGAUUCAUUGGGCGUAAAGGGUGCGUAGGCGGCAGUGUAAGUUGGGCGUGAAAUCCUGGGGCUUAACCUCAGAAUUGCGUUCAAUACUGCAUUGCUAGGGCGCUGUAGAGGAGAUUGGAAUUUACGGUGUAGCAGUGAAAUGCGUAGAUAUCGUAAGGAAGACCAGUGGCGAAAGCGAAUCUCUGGGCAGCAGCCGACGCUGAGGCACGAAGGCCAGGGGAGCAAACGGGAUUAGAUACCCCCGUAGUCC
This 292-nucleotide ribosomal RNA is filed under the name uncultured bacterium. Its description in RNAcentral is "partial 16S ribosomal RNA". It matches the Rfam family "Bacterial small subunit ribosomal RNA", at positions 505 to 796 of the family's 1533-position model. The record is from RNAcentral.